GAGGUAGCUCAGUGGCAGAGCAUUUGCCUCGCAUGUGUGAGGCUCUGGGUUCAAUCCCCAGUACUGCA
Molecule: transfer RNA, 68 nt
Filed under: Marmota monax (woodchuck)
Lineage: Eukaryota; Metazoa; Chordata; Mammalia; Rodentia; Sciuridae
Description: tRNA.Ala
Rfam family: tRNA (bases 5-61)
About the family: Transfer RNA (tRNA) molecules are approximately 80 nucleotides in length.
Source: RNAcentral